This 328-nucleotide ribosomal RNA is filed under the name uncultured eukaryote. RNAcentral describes it as "partial 18S ribosomal RNA". It matches the Rfam family "Eukaryotic small subunit ribosomal RNA", at positions 1470 to 1796 of the family's 1831-position model. The record is from RNAcentral.
CCCUUAGAUGUUCUGGGCCGCACGCGCGCUACACUGACUGGUUCAUCGAGUAUACAACCUUGACUGAUAGGUCUGGGUAAUCUUCUCAAAGCCAGUCGUGCUGGGGAUAGAUUAUUGUAAUUUUUAAUCUUCAACGAGGAAUUCCUAGUAAACGCGAGUCAUCAACUCGCAUUGAUUACGUCCCUGCCCUUUGUACACACCGCCCGUCGCUACUACCGAUUGAAUGGCUUAGUGAGCUUUCUGGACUGUCGCACUUCGUUGGAAACUUCGUUGUGCAUACGGGAAGGAAAUCAAACUUGAUCAUUUAGAGGAAGUAAAAGUCGUAACA